RNAcentral lists this ribosomal RNA (756 nucleotides) under Erysiphe quercicola. RNAcentral describes it as "eukaryotic LSU rRNA". It matches the Rfam family "Eukaryotic large subunit ribosomal RNA", at positions 1 to 770 of the family's 3401-position model. The record is from RNAcentral. Lineage: Eukaryota; Fungi; Ascomycota; Leotiomycetes; Helotiales; Erysiphaceae.
UUGACCUCGAAUCAGGUAGGAAUACCCGCUGAACUUAAGCAUAUCAAUAAGCGGAGGAAAAGAAACCAACCGGGAUUACCUCAGUAACGGCGAGUGAAGCGGUAACAGCUCAAAUUUGAAAUCUGGCUCUUGCGGAGUCCGAGUUGUAAUUUGUAGAAGAUGCUUUGGGUUGUGGGUUCGGCCUAAGUUCCUUGGAACAGGACGUCAUAGAGGGUGAGAAUCCCGUAUGUGGCCGAGGCCCGCGCCUAUGUAAAGCUCUUUCAACGAGUCGAGUUGUUUGGGAAUGCAGCUCAAAAUGGGUGGUAAAUUUCAUCUAAAGCUAAAUAUGGGCCAGAGACCGAUAGCGCACAAGUAGAGUGAUCGAAAGAUGAAAAGCACUUUGGAAAGAGAGUUAAACAGUACGUGAAAUUGUUGAAAGGGAAGCGCUUGCAACCAGACUUGGGCGCUGCCGAUCACCUUGAGUUUUCUCGAGUGCACUCGACAGCGCACAGGCCAGCAUCGGUUCGGGUGGCUGGAUAAAGGCCGUAGGAAUGUGGCUCUCUUCGGGGAGUGUUAUAGCCUACGGUGCCAUGCAGCCCAGCCGGACCGAGGACCGCGCCUUCGGGCUAGGAUGCUGGCGUAAUGGUUGUAAGCGACCCGUCUUGAAACACGGACCAAGGAGUCUAACAUCUAUGCGAGUGUUUGGGUGGUAAACCCAUACGCGGAAUGAAAGUGAACGUAGGUGAGAACCCCUUUGGGGCGCAUCAUCGACCGAUC